UCUUGAAGAGAAGGUCCAAUCCAAAGGGGUUCUCCCCUGCUGUGACGUCACGAGCGAGGGCAAUGGUAGUAAGGCCCUCUCCAAAACAGUGUGAGUGUAAGCAGAGCGUACGUACGAUUAAAAGCUAGAAGAAAGCACGCUGAUCGAAGAUUAUCUUGGCUGACCGCCCCUGGCUGUGACGUCAUCAAACGUUAGCUCCGGCCUUCUCUUCAAGAUGGCCUUGGUUCUAUGCUGCGCGCGACCAACGAGAUAUAUACUGGUAGUAGAGAGAGUAUCUGCAACCUCCAACCGGUUCCAACAUUAGUGUCAUGUGACUGCUGGUCGAAUUCCGAAAGUCCGGAAAUACGAGUACUUUACAUUUAUUUCUAUUGGACGAAAGACGCCUGCUCUGCUUGGUCAUAUAAAAUUUAAGAAAAAAUGGUUAUCCGCUGCAGCGCCUAUGGAUGUAAAGAAAGUUUUGUAAAAGGACCUGUAACCUUUCAUAGCUAAGUUAAAACUGCAUGAUUUAUUAUUUUAUUUCCAGUGUUUUUGUGAUUUUACUAUCUCUGUUGAAUUGGUUGGAAAGUUUCAGCCAUAUUGUAUAAGAAAAUUUUCUCUGUAUAUGAUUUUUUCAGCAUGUAAUAAUAGCAUCAAAAUGCAUUAAAUACUGUGACACUAUUUACUGGAA
Long non-coding RNA from Stegodyphus dumicola, 667 nucleotides. Lineage: Eukaryota; Metazoa; Arthropoda; Arachnida; Araneae; Eresidae. The record is from RefSeq and is a predicted model, not a curated record.